This 253-nucleotide ribosomal RNA is filed under the name uncultured bacterium. RNAcentral describes it as "partial 16S ribosomal RNA". It matches the Rfam family "Bacterial small subunit ribosomal RNA", at positions 524 to 776 of the family's 1533-position model. The record is from RNAcentral.
UACGUAGGGUGCGAGCGUUAAUCGGAAUUACUGGGCGUAAAGCGUGCGCAGGCGGUGAUGCAAGACAGAUGGGAAAUCCCCGGGCUCAACCUGGGAACUGCAUGUGUGACUGCAUCGCUGGAGUGCGGCAGAGGGGGAUGGAAUUCCGCGUGUAGCAGUGAAAUGCGUAGAUAUGCGGAGGAACACCGAUGGCGAAGGCAAUCCCCUGGGCCUGCACUGACGCUCAUGCACGAAAGCGUGGGGAGCAAACAGG